This 5865-nucleotide long non-coding RNA is filed under the name Brassica napus (rape). Its description in RNAcentral is "long non-coding RNA (BNAP_LNC005172)". The record is from RNAcentral. Lineage: Eukaryota; Viridiplantae; Streptophyta; Magnoliopsida; Brassicales; Brassicaceae.
UUAACAUGGCCAUCUUCCUUUUCUUUCAGAGCUGAAGUAAGCUCGUUUAACCGAGCCUCUAAGUUUGCAAAGGGGAUGUUGAGUGAAUCCGGGAGAGAGACAAUCUUAUAGUGAUGAGAAGGUCGAACAUCUAGAAGAACAUGUCUUUCCUUCUUUUGAAGGAUUUCUUUGAACUCUUUGCUGCUGAUUCUUGAUUCUUCAGGAAGUAGAUUCAACGGGCCCUAUGAUCAAACCGGUGCAGUUUAAAGAUAUAUAAAAAUGUUGUUGAAAAUGAGUGUGAUAAAAGAAAGAAAGAAAGAGAGAACAAUACCGCAGAUAAAGGAAACUGAGUGAACUCCUCAUAGUCAAAAUCCUUGAACUGCUGCUUAUUGAAAGAUGAAUUGUCUCCACAAACUGUGCACUGCGCUGACCUGCCUCUGAUCUUGACCUGUGAGACUUGGUUAGAUUUUUAACCUUAGAUUGAGUUUAAUGAAGAAGAAGUAAAUGCCAAGUUUUAAAACAUUACAAUGCGGAUCCUUGCAGAUAAAGCGUCAAAAAGAAGCAUUCGUUCAGAGAGUGGUUCGCCCACCAUGCUAGCGAGUUUAAUAGUCUCUAGCGCUUGUAGACAACCAAUAGCACCCGGAACUGAGAGAACCAAAAACCACAAUUCAAGAAUGAAGAAACUGUAGAGACUUGUUUUGCGUUAGAAAAACAAGAAAUAAAAACAGCCAUUCAUGUACCUACUCCAAGAACUCCACUAUCAGAACAUCUUUGGCACGCUGUUGUCGGUGGAGGAGUUGAAAAUAGACAACGGUAACACGGGCCUCCUUUAUGAUUAUAGACCGUAAGCUUGUAGAAGACAUAAAACAUGUAGCUUAACAACUAUAUAAUGAGUAACGUAACAACUUGGCUUGUCAUAGUUAAGAUACCUGCCCCUCCAUUCCAAGCGCAGCACCUGACACCAGAGGCUGUAUACAAGUCACACAUCAAUAGUUGUGACUAUGACUAUGUAUAAAAAUGGAAAUCAUAAAAGAGAAAUCAAAAGACGGCUUCACCUUUCCUAAGAGAACACAACAAUCGCUGAUCAUGUAACGGCUUGGAGGAUUGUCGGUUGCAUCUACUAUGAUAUCAUAUCUAGUUUACACAGUUAAGGAAACAGAUAACCAUUCAACACUCUAUAGCAUGUCUACAUAUCUAAGGAUACUGGCUGAGGAUUUCCAAAGCAUUGGAUGUGCGAAGAGCUUCCACAUAUUCAUCAAUCUUGAUCGUCGAGUUUAUUCUGGAUGUAAAAAAGCACAGUGAUUAGACCAAGAGAGUAGAGGUGAGCAUAGUUCUCAAAAGUAUAUUAAUCCUCAGGGAGUUUAAACUUACGAACGACAAGCAGUAGCAGCAGAUUUCACUUUGGGGUGACCAAUGAAUGCUUCCGUGUGUAUAACCUGGAGGAUAAACAAAUAAAAAAAAAGAUAACAAUCAGCAUAAGGUUAGUAUCUUUUGUUCAUUUCACGGACCAGAGAGUGUGCCAAGAAAAAGAAAGAGCUGCCAGAGGAGAAUUUUCUCAAGUCUCGUUACCUGCCUAUGCAUAUUGUUGAGUUCUACAACAUCAUGAUCGAUGAUACCCAAUCGACCUAGAAGAAUACAAUCGAAAAGAUGAUCAGCAAAUCAUAAUUCAGGGAGAAUGUCAGUUAGAUAGAUUGGAGGUACGAGACUAAAAACAUACCAACACCACAAGCUGCGAGAUACAAUAACGCAGGUGAACCAAGCCCUCCGGCUCCAAUGACUAGUACCGAAGACUUCAAUAGAUUUGACUGCCCUAGAUUCAUACAAACACAUAGAACAGAAACUAGUCAGUAAAGAUUGGUUUGAGAAAGGCAUUAGCAGAGUAAACAAGCAAACUAGGUAUUGACCAAAUGCAGAUAUACAUACACAGCAUAUCAGUCCACCUUAACACUAUAUUCAACAUGAGAUAUAUCAUAUCGACCUUUCUUCCUUACAAAUCCCAAAAGGCUAUCAAAAGAAGCAACAAAUACUAUUCAAUUUUUACUUAAAACUAGGCUUCAUAGUAUAUUAUAUCAUUCAAGCAUCAGUAAGUUUAUCUCUGAAAGAUCUAAAAUUACAAGUGGAAUCUAAUCAAUCAAAGGGAAACAAAAGAAACCCAAUACAAAGUUUUCAUCUUUCAGCUCCAAUCAUCACUAGCUGAUUACAGUUCAAAACAGAGACUUUUAAUGUAAUAAGAGUUGCAUUUGAGAGCAAAGUACCUUCAACACCAAACGAAGGGAGUAACAGUUGGCGACUGUAACGGUAAAUCUGAUCAGGAGACAUCCCAUGUUCAAGCCCGUAUUUAACCUCCGUUGGAACAGAGCAACCGUUGGACACGGCGUUGCAGUGUUCAACCGCCGCCGUCUCUUGGAGCUUUGCUUCGAGAGCAGAGAUACGGUGCUCGAUUUUCGCUUUCUGUAGCUUUAGCUCUUUCAGUUCACGGACGAUUUCCGACGAAUCUCCACCGUUCGCCGCCAUCCCGGUAACGGUAGUAGACAGAGGAACCCUAGAGCAGGAGUAAAGAAGACGACGCCAGUCAACGGGAUAAUACGUUGACUCUUUUUAUUCAUGCUUUGAAUCUGCGUCCACGUGUCACAUAACGGCGUGUUUUUGUUUCUAUACGGACAAAAUACAUUUAGGUACGGCUUUUUCGUUAGGCUUCUAGAAAAAUACAAGAAUGCCUUCUCAAAUUUGUAAAUGCUCAUUGCAGAUGCAGAUUCUUGUUCAUGUUGAUUGUACUUUGCUUCGUCUAUAUUUUUAACAUCAAUUUUGUUCUCACACAGAGGUGCAAAGUUGGCGUCUAGCAGCUACGAAAAUGGAUAAAACAAACGGUUCUUGUCAUGUCUUAAGAAAGUUAUAGGUUUCGGUCCGGAAUUUCUUGCAAUAAAAAGAAAAAUUUGUUUCCACACAUAACAAUCGGGAUGGUCAAUGUACCAAACCACGGUCACAUGUCUGGACGUUCUUGUACAGUUGUAUGUGGUCCGCGCUGUGACAUGAAACAUUGACUGCUUUGGUCUAUAUCCAAGGCAAAAACCAUAGUCAGUGUGUUUUAUGAUUUACUCAGAUCAUGUAUGGGGUCGAUCCCGAAGCCCAUUUAAAUUUAGACCACUACGGCCCAUCAAACUAACACGUAUGACACACACGUGGCAUCAUAACCAUAAACCCCGUUGGUGAGACACCAUCAUGCAUAAUUUUUUUAGUGGGAGAGAACCCAACUCAUACUGAUCAGAUAAAACUCCAUCUAUGGUUUGAUCUGAUCUAACUUUGCAGUUUAAAAGUGACCUCUCCGAAGAAAAUCAAAAUGUUGAGAACUUAUGUGAAUCCAAAACUAAUCUCCAGGCCUAAUAUAACAUCAGCAUGUCUUUACUCUCUUUACCUUAAGGUAUAAAUAUAUAUCCUCGAUGUAUAAAUGCUAUAUUUAUUUUCAUAAAAUAAUUAACUACAUAUAUAUAAAACUGAGGGGAGGAUUUUUAAAAAUAUCUCUACAUGUAGAGAGGAAGUGCGAGUGGAGGGAGGGAAGAAGGAAGAGCUCCUUCUACAGCGGAGGAGUUCACGAGACAAGGUGUUGCUAGCCAGACUGUGGAGAAGACGACGUACGACCGAGCAGAGGCGACGACCAACGUAUCCAGUAAUUCUGAGGCCGAGAUGGAGAAAGUGAGAAAGGAGUAUCAAGAGAAGAAAGAGAGUAGAGACCAUCUCAAGAAGGGAAGUGAUGAUGAUGAUGAUGAUUUGCCUAUCAACACGUCUAAGGGAACAUGAUGAAGAUGAUAUGAUGGAGAUGAUAAUCGAUGUUUGUAUGUAAUAAAAAUAGUCAUGUGUUUUUUUUUGUAUAUAUCUGUGGAGUCAUGUAUAGAAGCAAUGUUGUGUGUGUUUUUUUGUCAGUUAGCAUUGCUUGUUAAGUUCAUUAAUUUAUCUUCUAGUUUUGUUUCUAAAAUAGUUUUUAUUUUGCAGUUCAAAAUGUAUGUUCUGAUCACCCUGUUUUAAAUAAACUGAGGUUUACAGUUUUCCUUUUAAGAAAAUUAUGUUAUUUUUUUUAGUAAAAAUAAAAGUCACUUCCAAAUAAAAAAAAAAAAAGCAAAUGGAAUUUGACUGUUUCAUCGAAUAUUUCAAGAUGGGCAAUUGUCAAUAAUAGCACCUUUUGAAGUUUAUGUCACAAAAAUAACACUAGAAGGAGAAAGUCACAAAAAUAACAUUCAUUAAAGGUAAAAUAUCCCUAAUACCCUUGGUUUAAAAUUAAAUAAACAAACAAAAAUAAAUAAAAAUAAAUAAAAUAAAAAUAAAAAAAAAAAGAAAAAUGAAAAAAAGAAAUUUUUUUUAUAGUUUCAGAUUAUAUUUUUCAGAUUCGAAAUUUUUAUAAUUUUUUUUUGAAAUUUUUUUUCGAAAUUUUUUUUUAUUUUUUUUUCAAAUUUUCUUUUUAUAAUUUAAAAAUACUUUUUGAAACUGUUUUUAAAAUUUUUUAUUUUUAUUUUAGUAUUUAUUUUUUAUAAAAUUUUAAACCCUAAUUCCAAAACCCCACCCCUUNNNNNNNNNNNNNNNNNNNNNNNNNNNNNNNNNNNNNNNNNNNNNNNNNNNNNNNNNNNNNNNNNNNNNNNNNNNNNNNNNNNNNNNNNNNNNNNNNNNNNNNNNNNNNNNNNNNNNNNNNNNNNNNNNNNNNNNNNNNNNNNNNNNNNNNNNNNNNNNNNNNNNNNNNNNNNNNNNNNNNNNNNNNNNNNNNNNNNNNNNNNNNNNNNNNNNNNNNNNNNNNNNNNNNNNNNNNNNNNNNNNNNNNNNNNNNNNNNNNNNNNNNNNNNNNNNNNNNNNNNNNNNNNNNUUGUAGAGUUGUUGGUUGGACAAUGAAGAAGGGAAUACAUCCACAGAUGCAAUGGAUCUCUUAUGUGACACAGAGCGGUAGAUUGAUGCACGUCAUGAUGACAAGGAUCCACCAUGUUGGCAAAGUCUAUCACUUUGGCGCUAAGCGUCAGUUGGCUCAAAGCAUUGGCCAGAUUGCCAAGUUCAAGCGUAGGUUUAACGAGCAAGAGGAAGAACCUUCCCAUGACAAUAACAUCGACAACCAGAACAAGUAACUGCCUACUCCAACUCUUCUUCUCUCUUUCCUUUCCUCAAAAACCAAAUUUGAACAAGGCUGAAGACUUUGCACUUUUGCUCAAGGCACUAUGAACCUUGCUUUUGUUUCUUCUGAUUGAUUUUCACAGUUCUUGAGUCGCACUGUUUCAUCAAUAAAAAAAUUAUUAUUGUUCUUUGAGAAGACUGAAUUAUUCACAUUAUUCUUUGUUUCAUAUGAUCAAAUCAAACCAAACAACAAGGUAUCUUAUAGCAUGUAAAUCAAACAGGGUUUCAACAUGGGUUUAAUAAGGUUACGUAACAUCAAUAAGAACUUUUCUUACGACAGAAUCAAACUACGAGAUCAAAACAGUGACAAUGUAAUUCAGACAGGGUAACAUGACAUAACUAGUGAUACAUUUUAUCUAGUAACUGGGGAAGUUGGGGUUGACUUCAGCUGCCCAAGCCUCAAGUCCUCCAAUUAUAUCCUUAGCUGAGCUAAAACCAGAAUCACGAAGAUACUGAACAGCUCUCUGUGAGUCAUUCCCUCGCCUGCAAACAACGUAGAGGCUCGGAUUUGCACAAGACCCUGAGUUAACAUGGCCAUCUUCCUUUUCUUUCAGAGCUGAAGUAAGCUCGUUUAACCGAGCCUCUAAGUUUGCAAAGGGGAUGUUGAGUGAAUCCGGGAGAGAGACAAUCUUAUAGUGAUGAGAAGGUCGAACAUCUAGAAGAACAUGUCUUUCCUUCUUUUGAAGGAUUUCUUUGAACUCUUUGCUGCUGAUUCUUGAUUCUUCAGGAAGUAGAUUCAAC